Molecule: long non-coding RNA, 241 nt
Organism: Ipomoea nil (Japanese morning glory)
Lineage: Eukaryota; Viridiplantae; Streptophyta; Magnoliopsida; Solanales; Convolvulaceae
Exons: 3
Source: RefSeq, a predicted model, not a curated record
UGAGGGAGAAGAAAAACAUCGCUAGCAAAAAUGAAUGCUCCCGAUCAUUACGAACGAUUCGUCGUCCCUGAAGGCGUCAAGAAGGUUUCCUACGAGCGGGACACUAAGAUUAUAAAUGCCGCCACCUUAACGGUCGAGAGAGAAGACCACACCAUCGGCAACAUUCUACGCAUGUAAUUGCACAGGGAUGAGAAUAUUCUCUUUGCUGGCUACAAGCUGCCUCACCCCCUUCAGUACAAAA